Molecule: ribosomal RNA, 495 nt
Filed under: uncultured bacterium
Lineage: Bacteria
Description: partial 16S ribosomal RNA
Rfam family: Bacterial small subunit ribosomal RNA
Source: RNAcentral
GACGAACGCUGGCGGCGUGCCUAAUACAUGCAAGUAGAACGCUGAAGGAGGAGCUUGCUUCUCUGGAUGAGUUGCGAACGGGUGAGUAACGCGUAGGUAACCUGCCUGGUAGCGGGGGAUAACUAUUGGAAACGAUAGCUAAUACCGCAUAAUAGUAGAUGUUGCAUGACAUUUGCUUAAAAGGUGCAAUUGCAUCACUACCAGAUGGACCUGCGUUGUAUUAGCUAGUUGGUGGGGUAACGGCUCACCAAGGCGACGAUACAUAGCCGACCUGAGAGGGUGAUCGGCCACACUGGGACUGAGACACGGCACAGACUCCUACGGGAGGCAGUAGUAGGGAAUCUUCGGCAAUGGACGGGAGUCUGACCGAGCAACGCCGAGUGAGUGAAGAAGGUUUUCGGAUCGUAAAGCUCUGUUGUAAGAGCAGAACGAGGGUGAGAGUGGAAAGUUCACACUGUGACGGUAUCUUAACAGAAAGGGACGGCUAACUACGUG